GAGGACAUGACUACCUUGGAUAAGAGCAAAAAUAUUGCAUACAUGCAUAUUUGUCAGGUGAUUUCUAGUGCAAACUAUUCAAUAAUAUAUUUAUGUUAUCCAGAACAAAAAUACUUCACAUAUUUUUGUGUUUUGUCUAAUUGCAGGUGUAUGGGACAUUUGUACAAUCCACAUAUGAAGAUAAGGGAAAAGGAGAAGUUUAGGUGCUGUUCAAAAAGUCUUCUCACGUCACUUUUGGGCCAAGAGAAGAUAGAGUCCAAGUUUCUCACGUUCUGGAUUCAGAUUCGGACUGCACAGACAUACCUGACUCAAAACGCCAACAACUUUUACAUACGGACUCCGAAUUGGGUGAUUCUUUUUUUGUUCGAUUCUAGAUUUUGUGCUCUUUCCAGCCCAAUUGGAUUCACCUUCAAAUUCGUCCGGAGCGUUGAGAUAUCGACGAAACAAUCAGACGCUGCAGCAGAAUCCGAGUCAAACAACAAGUCCAAAGGUGUUGCAUCACCUCCACUUGGGCCCAUUGGCCUUGUACGACCUAGGGUUAGUUUUAGGCCGCCUUGGGACGUCCUCCCACCUCCUAGGCCGCCACCCCUUGCUCCUAUAUAAGUAGAUCCAUCUAGUAGCUUUUCCCUUGGGAUUUGUUUAGUUAAAAGUUAGCCAUUGCAACUUCGUGUACUUCGUUUGUGUCCAACGACCAGACCAAGACCGCUUACGGAUCCCCACCUUUAUCAAUACUUCAUCUAUAUUCACAAUAUUCAGAUUGUUUUAUCGUAUUCUUGCUUGUUCUUCGAUUGCUUGCAGGAAUAGACCUUCGUGGUCAGGUUGAUUGUGCUCCGGCAUGGUCAAUAACCUCUCAAAGUUGGUUUAGCGAUUGCUAAGGCGCAACGUCGUGCACGUUUGUAGUCGGAUCGUCAAAGUCAUCUUCACCAAAUCGAUAGUUAUCAUCUCAUCGAAAGAUCUGGACACCCCGCCUCUAUCAAGUGGUAUCAGAUUUUCAGGUUGCUCGGUGAGAAUUUCUAGUUUUUCCUAGAUUAGAUUUAUUUUCUUACCUAUUGUCCAAGAAAAAGCCACAAAAUAAAAGUUAGAUCUAUUCAUCCUUUGUCCUAGCCAGACUGAGCCUUUGCAUUUUUCUUUUCAUUGUUUGCAUUAUUGAAUUAUCGGUUGCAUCGCCGUGUCGAGUUGCUGGUCUUAGUGUCUAGUUCCUUUAGAGUUUCGAGUUCUGUUCACAUUAGUCACGCCGCCGCUGCAUCAUUAUCCCUUCCUCUGUCCACCAUCCCAUCCAUCAGCUUUCACCAUGCGUUACGCACUGUUCGUUGUCAUAAUCAUAGUUGAGGUCAUUCACAUCUUCGCCUGAUCCAAUCUGCAUCUUAUCUAGUUUGUCUUGGAAAGAGGGAGAAAAAAAAGAUAGAGAAAAAAAAAGAAAAAAAGUGUGAGAAAAAAAGAGAGAAGAGAAAAAAAAUAAAAUUCGGAUCUAUCUAGACUCAAUCUCGUAGUUGAAUUCGGACUGGAAUCUGUUUUGUGCACUGUUCAGUAAAAAAGGCAUAACUUCCUCAUACGAACUCCGUUUUGGCUCCACAAGUACUCAAAUUAAAGCUAGCGACUAAACGCAUCUGAAUAGUUACAAAAUCUAGUUCAAUAUUUGGCGCCUCAAAAUCAGCUUCUAAAUAGGUCUUUUUGCCCUCCAAAGUCCGCAUAUACAGUUUGUUCCAGUUUUUCAGGCCAGUUUUAAAAUUCUUUGACUCCUUAUAUCAAUUCGGAAUUGAGUGAUUCUUUUUGCAUUAGUAAGCUUGAGUUAGUAGCAAACUUUUCAAGAGAAAAGUUGGAGGAGAGUUGUUAUAUAUCCUGCUUGGCAGUUGUUAUUCAUCAUUAUCUUUACUGUCGUUGUGAUCUUCACUUAUAUCUUGCUGUCCAGAGCUACUUAUCCUUCAUUGAUGCUAGUUGUGCUAUGUCGUGACCUCAUUAGUGUUCUAGGCUCGCGUCUCUAGUCCGGUCUAGCCUAGGACCAGCACAGUACCGUCGUUGAACGUUUAUUCAACAUUGCAUCUUUAAAUUGAUUAUUGCUAAUCUUUUGCUACCAUAUAUAGCCAACCCAGCUCCACAUAUUUCUACACCGUGUAUACGUACGUUCCCCUGGCAAUCGCUUUACACAAUCUUCAGAGUUACUUGACACCGCUGGUUGCCUGUCACCACCUGCCGCAUGGUAAAAACUUGUAAGACAUUGAUAUUUGAUUUACUGUGAGCAUUUUACCACCACAUCCUAGUAGUUAUAGGAACAUUAUUUUUGGAUUUUGUUUCUUGUUCUACUAAUCAUGACAGGAUCCAGAGUCAAUUCAUGGGCUUUGUCGAUCGCGGGAGACAUGCCACCACCUAUGCAAAUACCACAACCGUCACGAGAGGUGCACAAACAUCCAAAUGCACAUGAUCAGGUUCAUGUUUUUAUACCACCAUUUAAUGGCCGUUUUAGACCAGCUUUAUAUAUUGAAUGGGAGUUAGACAUAAAUAAUAUAUUUGCUUCCCAUAAUUUUGAUGAACGUAAAAAAGUUACGGUUGCGGUUGGUUCUUUCAUUGGUUAUGCUCUAGUUUGGUGGAGUGAAUAUUGUCGGUUACACCCUGAUUAUGUACCUAAUACUUGGGAUGAUUUAAAACAUGUCAUGAGAGAUAGAUUCGUCGAUGUUUAUUAUACUCGUGGCAUGAUUAAAAAACUGGAACAUUUAAAACAAGGUAGUGACACCGUAACAAAAUAUUAUGAUGAUUUACAAACUACCUUGUUGCACUCAUUUUUAGAAGAAAGUGAAGAAGAUUUUAUAGAUAGAUUUUGGGGAGGAUUAAACCAUAAUAUUCAGGAGAUACUAAUUCAUGAAGAGUGUUAUCCUAUGGACCAUUUGUUUCGUCUUGCUUGCAAAGCUGAACAGGAAAUAAAACGACGUGUUGCCCACAAGGAGAACAAGCCCACGGUGCACAUUCCAACUGUUGAUACAGAUGUUUAUUCAACUACUAGGCGUACUAUGACAACCACAUCCGUUGUUGCGAGGACUACAUCAUCUCCACCAUGUGACACAUCACCAUCGAGAGUGCCUGCAUCAUCUGAGUUGACUAUAAGAGGUAAUGAUAAAGGUACAGAUUUUCCACUUUUACAUGAGAAUGAUGCAUGCCUAGUUAACUUGAAUACAUCAUGUGUUGAGCUAUCCACUACUUUGAUCACACCACCUAUUUUAGAGGAUUAUAUUGAUAAUUUGACUUUGUCAUGUGAUCAAACAACUGAAAUACCAACAAUUUUGAGAGCACCCAUUGAAUUAACUGUUGAUGCAAAAGAAUCAAUGUUUAAUCAUUUUGAUAUGACCUCUAAUCUUGGUGAUGAUUCUGUGUCGAAUGACUCAUUACAUGUUUGCUUAUCUAAGCAUGUUGUAGCAUGUAAAUUUGAUUCAAAUAAGGUUUAUUCACCAAUGUAGGGAUGGUUUAAUGAUGAACAUUGUCAAUCUUUUGAAAUAAAUAAGAGCUUCACUUAUAUGUGCAAACUAAGUUGCAAUAUUUUCAUGCCUUCUAGUUCUUGUGCUAAUUUGUUGGCUUAGAUUUUAUGAACUAUGCAAGUUACUCAUCUAUUCAUGUGUCAUAUAUGCAAAAAUCAAGGGAAGUAAAAAUGGAUGACGUAUACAUAUACAAGAUGUACACCUUGUCUCUUUUGUUAGCCACAUUUCAGAUUAAGCAACACCGAGGACGGCUUUGUUUUCAAGAAGGGGAGGAUGAUGAGUACAUGACUACCUUGGAUAAGACCAAAAAUAUUGCAUACAUGCAUAUUUGUCAGGUGAUUUCUAGUGCAAACUAUUCAAUAAUAUAUUUAUGUUAUCCAGAACAAAAAUACUUCACAUACUUUUGUGUUUUGUCUAAUUGCAGGUGUAUGGGACAUUUGUACAAUCCACAUAUGAAGAUAAGGGAAAAGGAGAAGUUUAGGUUCUGUUCAAAAAGUCCUCUCACAUCACUUUUGGGCCAAGAGAAGAUAGAGUCCAAUUUUCUCAUGUUCUAGAUUCAGAUUCGGACUGCACAGACAUACCUGACUCAAAACGCCAACAACUUUUACAUACGG
This 4078-nucleotide long non-coding RNA is filed under the name Triticum aestivum (bread wheat). RNAcentral's name for it is "long non-coding RNA (TAES_LNC027355)". The record is from RNAcentral. Lineage: Eukaryota; Viridiplantae; Streptophyta; Magnoliopsida; Poales; Poaceae.